This 344-nucleotide ribosomal RNA is filed under the name uncultured bacterium. RNAcentral describes it as "bacterial SSU rRNA". It matches the Rfam family "Bacterial small subunit ribosomal RNA", at positions 8 to 334 of the family's 1533-position model. The record is from RNAcentral.
AGGGUUUGAUUAUGGCUCAGGAUGAACGCUGGCGGCGUGCUUAACACAUGCAAGUCGAGCGAAGCACUUGGAACGGAUCCCUCGGGUGAAGCUCCAUUUGACUGAGCGGCGGACGGGUGAGUAACGCGUGGGUAACCUGCCUCAUACAGGGGAAUAACAGUUUGAAAAGACUGCUAAUGCCGCAUAAGCGCACAGGGCCGCAUGGCCCGGUGUGAAAAACUCCGGUGGUAUGAGAUGGACCCGCGUCUGAUUAGCUAGUUGGUGAGGUAACGGCCCACCAAGGCGACGAUCAGUAGCCGACCUGAGAGGGUGACCGGCCACAUUGGGACUGAGACACGGCCCAA